This 22-nucleotide non-coding RNA is filed under the name Arabidopsis thaliana (thale cress). The record is from RNAcentral. Lineage: Eukaryota; Viridiplantae; Streptophyta; Magnoliopsida; Brassicales; Brassicaceae.
UUUAGUAGGCAACCGAACUUGC